GAAAGGAGAGAAGGGCGCAUGAAGGAUGCCUAGGCUCUCGGAGGCGAAGAAGGACGUGACAAGCUGCGAUAAGCCGCGGUGAGGGGCAAAUACCCGCACAGCCGCGGAUUUCCGAAUGGGGCAACCCGCCGGGCGUGAGCCCGGCAUCCAUCGAAGAUGGAGGCGAACCCGGGGAACUGAAACAUCUAAGUACCCGGAGGAAGAGAAAACAAACCAGUGAUUGCGCAAGUAGCGGCGAGCGAACGCGCAGGAGCCCAAACCGCGGAGGUCGUAAGGCCUCGCGCGGGGUUGUAGGACCGUCGCCGGUGCGUACGGCAGAGGUUAGCCGAAGCGGCUGGAAAGCCGCGCCACAGAGGGUGAAAGCCCCGUAGGCGAAAACCUGCUGCCGACGCCAGACGGCACCUGAGUAAGCCGGGACACGAGAAAUCCUGGCCGAAUCCGCGGGGACCAUCCCGUAAGGCUAAACACUACCGAGAGACCGAUAGCGAACCAGUACCGUGAGGGAAAGGUGAAAAGAACCUCGAACAGAGGAGUGAAACAGACCCUGAAAUCAUGCGCCUACAAGCGGUCGGAGCCACUUCGUGUGGUGACGGCGUGCCUUUUGCAUAAUGAUCCUACGAGUUGCCGUCGCCGGCGAGGCUAAGCUCCAGAAGGAGCGGAGCCGGAGCGAAAGCGAGUCAGAACAUGGCGAGAAUAGUCGGCGGGGGCAGACGCGAAACCAGCGUGAUCUACCCUUGGGCAGGCUGAAGGUGGGGUAACACCCGCUGGAGGGCCGCACCGGUAAGCGUUGAAAAGCUUUCGGAUGACCUGAGGGUAGGAGUGAAAGGCCAAUCAAACCUGGAGAUAGCUCGUACUCCCCGAAAUGCAUUUAGGUGCAGCCUCGGGACUAUGCCGCGGAGGUAGAGCGACUGAUAGGAUGCGAGGGCUUCACCGCCUGUCAAGUCCUGACAAACUCCGAAUGCCGCGGCACGAAUCCCGGGAGUGAGGGCGUGGGUGCUAAGGUCCACGUCCGAGAGAGGAACAACUCAGACCACCGGCCAAGGCCCCCAAAUACGGGCCGAGUUGAAGCCAAUAACGAGGUGGGAUUGCAUUGACAGCUAGGAUGUUGGCUUGGAAGCAGCCAUUCAUUUGAAGAGUGCGUAACAGCUCACUAGUCGAGUGAUCCCGCAUGGAUAAUACACGGGCAUAAGUCCGUUGCCGAAGCCGUGGGAUGCCACAUAAGUGGCAUCGGUAGGGGAGCAUUCCGCGGGCCGCAGAAGGUGGGGCGUGAGCCCUGCUGGAGGCAGCGGAAAAGCAAAUGUAGGAAUAAGUAACGACAAAGGGGGCGGGAAACCCCCUCGCCGUAAGACCAAGGGUUCCUGAUCAACGCUAAUCGGAUCAGGGUAAGCCGGGGCCUAAGUGGCAGCCGCGAGGCGAACACGAUGGACAAACGGUAAAGAUUCCGUUGCCCCUGCGGUCAAGUGAUGUGGAGACGGAGCAGUGACACACCCGCGCGCUGACGGAAUAGCGCGUUGAACCGUGUAGCUAAACGCCGGGGAGGCAAAUCCCCCCGGAGUGGCGAGGCGGGACAGUACGGCGAGCCCCCGGGCAAGCCGACAGCGGUGGUAACCAUACUCCCGAGAAAAUCCGCUAAGCGUUAUAAAGACCGCAGGGCCCGUACCGCAAACCGACACAGGUGGUCGGGUAGAAUAUACCAAGGCGCUCGAGAGAUUCACGGUUAAGGAACUAGGCAAAUUGACCCCGUAACUUCGGGAUAAGGGGUCCCCACUUUAUGGUGGGGCGCAGAGAAUAGGUCCAGGCAACUGUUUAACAAAAACACAGGGCUGUGCAAAGUUGAAAGAUGAAGCAUACAGCCUGACACCUGCCCGGUGCCGGAAGGUUAAGAGGAGGCGUCAUCGCAAGAGAAGCGCUGAAUUGAAGCCCCGGUAAACGGCGGCCGUAACUAUAACGGUCCUAAGGUAGCGAAAUUCCUUGUCGGGUAAGUUCC
RNAcentral lists this ribosomal RNA (1987 nucleotides) under human gut metagenome. RNAcentral describes it as "bacterial LSU rRNA". It matches the Rfam family "Bacterial large subunit ribosomal RNA", at positions 1 to 1984 of the family's 2925-position model. The record is from RNAcentral.